UACGUAGGGGGCAAGCGUUGUCCGGAUUCUUUGGGCGUAAAGAGCGUGUAGGCGGCCAGGUAGGUCGGUUGUGAAAACUGGAGGCUCAACCUUCAGAGGUCGACCGAAACCAUCUGGCUAGAGUCCGGGAGAGGAGAGUGGAAUUCCUGGUGUAGCGGUGAAAUGCGCAGAUAUCAGGAAGAACACCCGUGGCGAAAGCGGCUCUCUGGAACGGUACUGACGCUGAGACGCGAAAGCGUGGGGAGCGAACAGG
RNAcentral lists this ribosomal RNA (253 nucleotides) under uncultured bacterium. RNAcentral's name for it is "partial 16S ribosomal RNA". It matches the Rfam family "Bacterial small subunit ribosomal RNA", at positions 524 to 776 of the family's 1533-position model. The record is from RNAcentral.